ACAUCGCUAUACAAAUAAAGGUGAAUUAAAUUGAAUUGAAUUUUUGUGCAAAACAACAAAAGGUGGGCCCUAUAGUAUCUGGUAGUAUAGUAUACCUCAGAGAUGCAAUGUCAGACACAAUGCACUCAAUGGAGCUAGUGACGUCACUGUGAGGGGUAGGGUUAGGUGUGGGCAUUAAAAAACAUUGCAUGCAGGCCAACAGCACCAAGCCUGCAUCUUGACCUCUCUCCAAAAGAAAAGUGAAAAAUACAAAAGAUGUGUAAUGAAAACUUUAGGUGUUAUAGUUCUGGGGUCCAUUUAUUUGUAUUUUGUAGAUACUGACAUUCAAAAUGUUUUGUUUCAUAUAGUGGCGUUUCACAUUUCCACUUUUUACAUUUACAUUUAGUCAUUUUACAUUUAGUCAUUUAGCAGACGCUUUUAUCCAAAGCGACUCUUUACAAUUCCAAUUGUCUCAUUACAAAUUCAGCUGAAUGGCAUUGUGCCGGCAUGUGGCAAAAUAAACGCAUACUUAUCUGGCCAUUUAACUUUAAACUGUCUAUUCUCUGAAUCAAGAUUUUUUUUCUGUGAGACCAACAUCUUCAUACAAUCACACGAUCGCUUUGCUGCAGUGCAUUAAAGCAGGUACAUGCAUGAUUAGACCGCUUGAUCACUUGAAGCCUUGUAUGAGCCUUGUAAGCACUGGGUGUCAUGACAGAAGAGUUAGUAGGAACUUGAAUAUUAAUAACUUUGAAUAUUUUGCCAUUGAAUUUAUUUCAGCCUGUAUUUUUUACAAAAUUACAAACAACUAAACUUUGUAACCCUCGAUACACAAAUGUAUUAUACGCUUUUAAUCAAUGGACCAGAUGCUCAGAAGUCUAAAUUCCUCCAAAGAGAGAGAAGAUACAACAACAGUGAAGGACUCGGACACAGAGGGUUUUAUGGCUAUAUCACUAAUAAGGUGUUUCCAAAGAAUCCACUUAAUGGUAGGCUCGCCAGUCCAACUCCACAAUGAGACACGCCGAUGGAAGUUGAGACAAUCCAAAUCCAGAAAAGAGUUCAAACUUCAAUUAAUUCGAAUCCAGAGCAGAUCACAUCCAGCAACUGACGUCAAUAGAACAUCUCACCGAUGAAAAAACAGAAGAAGAUGCACAAACGAACAAAACCAAACAAAAAAAAAAAACCUGGCCAAGGAAAUCAUUCAAAAUCAAAACGAAACAAACAGGAAAACUCCAGGUGGCACUCGUGUGCAGAUUUCACUCUCAGAGACAAAUCUUGUUUUUUUCUCUCUCAAUCCUUCAUUAAAAAUAUAUGAUUGAAAUCAUGUCAGCAUCUUAUUAAUGGUCAAUUUUCACAGUUAAUACGCAUUAAAACAUUAAAAAAUGUAAAUCUAAUAGUUAUAUUACUGUUAUUAAUAUAAAGACUUACAUCUCUGCUUUCCCUUGCGAACACUGAAUCACCAUAGCAACGGUAAACACAAGCUAACAGACAAGCGAGAUUUGUUAUUGUUUGGAAAGCUGAUCUGCUGCUAUAGUGUAAGGCACGAUGAUGUCAUUCUAAAGCACUAUUCCCUUGAAUGCUGUAUAAUACUCUAUUAUAAAUUAUUUAUAUAAGUAAAUAAUUUUA
This is a long non-coding RNA of Danio rerio (zebrafish), 1602 nucleotides long. The record is from Ensembl. Lineage: Eukaryota; Metazoa; Chordata; Actinopteri; Cypriniformes; Danionidae.